GGGUCGGUUGCUUUAGUGGUCGAAAAGUCUGGACUGUUAAUCCAGUAGGCUUAUGCCUCAUCGUGGGUUCGAAUCCCACCCUUCCCU
This 87-nucleotide transfer RNA is filed under the name Caudoviricetes sp. RNAcentral describes it as "tRNA-Asn". It matches the Rfam family "tRNA". From Rfam's summary of the family: Transfer RNA (tRNA) molecules are approximately 80 nucleotides in length. Their secondary structure includes four short double-helical elements and three loops (D, anti-codon, and T loops). The record is from RNAcentral. Lineage: Duplodnaviria; Heunggongvirae; Uroviricota; Caudoviricetes.